RNAcentral lists this ribosomal RNA (253 nucleotides) under uncultured bacterium. RNAcentral's name for it is "partial 16S ribosomal RNA". It matches the Rfam family "Bacterial small subunit ribosomal RNA", at positions 524 to 776 of the family's 1533-position model. The record is from RNAcentral.
UACGAGGGGGGCGAGCGUUGUUCGGAAUUAUUGGGCGUAAAGGGUGCGUAGGCGGUUUGGUAAGCCUGAUGUGAAAUCUAUGGGCUCAACUCAUAGUCUGCAUCGGAAACUGCCGGGCUUGAGUGUGGGAGAGGUGAGUGGAAUUCCUGGUGUAGCGGUGAAAUGCGUAGAUAUUGGGAGGAACACCAGUGGCGAAGGCGGCUUCCUGGCCUGUUCUUGACGCUGAGGCGCGAAAGCUAGGGGAGCAAACGGG